Long non-coding RNA from Bradysia coprophila, 453 nucleotides. RefSeq lists it as uncharacterized. The record is from RefSeq and is a predicted model, not a curated record. Lineage: Eukaryota; Metazoa; Arthropoda; Insecta; Diptera; Sciaridae.
CCCAUGCCAAAGACUGUUACCAUCCAAUAGUAUUCAAAUAUUUUGCAAUCAACGAAACAAUUCAAACCGGUCGUUGUUCUAUAGCAACUUGCAAAGCGGCUCCAUUUGACAUCGAUGAAACUUUAUGUGAUUGUGGUCCGACGGUAAUAAAUUAUGGAAGUGGAUGCUUCCAAGGAGCAGUCGACUACUCAAAGGACUAUCCAGCUUGUUGUGAGAGACCGUUAAUUUGUGUGUAAAUUUUGAUUUCUUCCCGUUUUAAAACUAAAACUACUCAUAGAGCUAAGACAGUUUCACUAGGCUACCGCUGAAUAAAAUACCCAAUUUACCUCUGUGCCAUAGUUGAAAUUAAUAAUUUGAAGUGUUCAUUCUACACCUCAUCUUACGUAUAUUUACAUCUAAAAAAUUUAUUUCGAAAAAAAAAAUCUUGCCAAGAAUGACGAACCAUAAAGAAAA